ACCUGAGCGUCCACUGUACGGUAAAGUAUGAGACUCAUAAUCGCAGGGUUGUGGGUUCAAGUCCCACAUCGGGCG
Podarcis lilfordi (Lilford's wall lizard) is the source of this 75-nucleotide non-coding RNA. Lineage: Eukaryota; Metazoa; Chordata; Lepidosauria; Squamata; Lacertidae. The record is from the annotation of a GenBank genome assembly.